This 217-nucleotide unclassified non-coding RNA is filed under the name Hevea brasiliensis (rubber tree). The record is from RNAcentral. Lineage: Eukaryota; Viridiplantae; Streptophyta; Magnoliopsida; Malpighiales; Euphorbiaceae.
GAAAAGCAAGGCAUGCGGACACACGCCGUCUCUGUGUCAGAAACAGAUGAUUAUGCUGAGAUUAUAGAUGAAGAAGAUACUUACACCAUGCCCUCAACCAGGGAUUAUGAGAUUCAAAGAGAAAGAAUAGAACUUGGACGAUGUAUUGGAGAAGGCCAAUUUGGAGAUGUACAUCAAGGCAUUUAUAUGAGUCCAGAGAAUCCAGCUUUGGCGGUUG